UAUCCGCCUCUACAUUACAGGAUAACCGGGUUGUCGGGUGUAAAGACUAGCCUAACGGGAGCCCUGUAACCACACGUGAAGUUGACAUCUCUGUCUGAAAUGGACAAAAAGAAAAGAAGAAAAUAAAUUCAAUGUCCAUCAAUGGACCUAGGAUCAUAAUUUAAAACCACCAGAGAAGAUGGGUACUAACACUGCUGUACAGCCAGGAAUACAGUAUUACAGGCACAGGGAGAAAGGGAGAACUUCAACUACGCCUGGAUCAACGUGUUAUGCCCAGAGGGACGCCAGGCAGAAAGCUGAUUGGCCACACAUACUUAGUCUGUUUGUAUCUGUUGAGUCCUUUCGUUCUUUGCUUUAAAGGAAAUUAUUUUCUCUCUGAGUCUAAUCUGUAGAAUAGCAUAUCAGGGUGGUAGAGAAAA
Long non-coding RNA from Esox lucius (northern pike), 419 nucleotides. RefSeq lists it as uncharacterized. The record is from RefSeq and is a predicted model, not a curated record. The transcript is spliced from 4 exons. Lineage: Eukaryota; Metazoa; Chordata; Actinopteri; Esociformes; Esocidae.